Long non-coding RNA from Anguilla rostrata (American eel), 300 nucleotides. RefSeq lists it as uncharacterized. The transcript is spliced from 2 exons. NCBI's taxonomy places the organism in Eukaryota, Metazoa, Chordata, Actinopteri, Anguilliformes, Anguillidae. The record is from RefSeq and is a predicted model, not a curated record.
GAUGGAAAAUGUAGGGUAUUGUACAGCCAACCAGGUAUAGGGGAUGAUUAGGUGGUCAGAGGUGGGGAGUCUGUUUUUUGCGUGAAUUUAGCAAGGACCCCUUCUUCCACACUGUGCUGGGACACUGGAUUUCUGUUUGGUCCAUAGGGAAGAGUGCCCCCUACUGGCCCAACAACACCUCUUCAAGCUGCAACUUGGUUUUCCCAAGAGGUCUCCCAUCCCAGUAAGAACCAAAUAAACACAGAUUUCAAAACACAGAGCUUGUCUAAAUAUUUCAAGUAAUUAGGGCUUGGUGUUUUU